CCUACGGGUGGCAGCAGUGGGGAAUAUUGCGCAAUGGGCGAAAGCCUGACGCAGCGACGCCGCGUGAGGGAUGAAGGUUUUCGGAUCGUAAACCUCUGUCAGCAGGGAAGAACGGUCACUGUGCUAAUCAGCAGUGAAUUGACGGUACCUGCAAAGGACGCACCGGCUAACUCCGUGCCAGCAGCCGCGGUAAUACGGAGGGUGCGAGCGUUAAUCGGAAUUACUGGGCGUAAAGCGCUCGUAGGCGGUAUGUCAAGUCUAGGGUGAAAUCCCCGCGCUCAACGUGGGAACUGCCUUUGAAACUGGCAAACUGGAGUGUGUGAGAGGAUAGUGGAAUUCCAGGUGUAGGAGUGAAAGCCGUAGAUAUCUGGAGGAACAUCAGUGGCGAAGGCGACUAUCUGGCACAUAACUGACGCUGAGGAGCGAAAGCGUGGGUAGCAAACAGGAUUAGAUACCCUGGUAGUC
This 465-nucleotide ribosomal RNA is filed under the name uncultured bacterium. RNAcentral's name for it is "partial 16S ribosomal RNA". It matches the Rfam family "Bacterial small subunit ribosomal RNA", at positions 338 to 795 of the family's 1533-position model. The record is from RNAcentral.